AACGCGAAGAACCUUACCAAGGUUUGACAUGGACCGAAAACUCAUGGAGACAUGGGGUCCUUCGGGGCGGUUCACAGGUGGUGCAUGGCUGUCGUCAGCUCGUGUCGUGAGAUGUUGGGUUAAGUCCCGCAACGAGCGCAACCCUUAUCCUAUGUUGCCAGCGGGUCAUGCCGGGGACUCAUGGGAGACUGCCGGGGUCAACUCGGAGGAAGGUGGGGAUGACGUCAAGUCAUCAUGCCCCUUAUGUCUUGGGCUGCAAACAUGCUACAAUGGCCGGUACAGAGGGCUGCGAACCCGUGAGGGUAAGCGAAUCCCGGAAAGCCGGUCUCAGUUCGGAUCGGGGUCUGCAACUCGGCCCCGUGAAGCCGGAGUCGCUAGUAAUCGCGGAUCAGCAACGCCGCGGUGAAUACGUUCCCGGGCCUUGUA
This 426-nucleotide ribosomal RNA is filed under the name uncultured Actinomycetes bacterium. RNAcentral describes it as "bacterial SSU rRNA". It matches the Rfam family "Bacterial small subunit ribosomal RNA", at positions 958 to 1385 of the family's 1533-position model. Lineage: Bacteria; Bacillati; Actinomycetota; Actinomycetes. The record is from RNAcentral.